GAGGACCGUUAGGUUGUUGCUAUUGCUGACGGAAAGUUCAUUAAGUGGAAAAUUGAUUCAGUUCUCUGCACAUUCAUUGAAGAAGCUCCUGGGGGGCUCCAGAAGAUUGGGAAGCUGAUUCAAUGAGGAUCAAGUUAUUAAGAAGUAUGAGGAAAGAAGCAGACUGUCCUGCAGUUAGCAGAUUGGUCCAGACACCCUCACAACUCUCAUGGACACUACCCCUGUUGGGAUGAUCAACCUCUAACAUUUUCCUGUACUUAAUUUAAGCCUCCGGUUUCCAAGUCCCAGAAGCAAGCCUCCAGCUGGUCAAAUUUAAGUCACCUGCCAACACCUAACUGUUGAAUCAGGAGAGAUAAUUUCUUUCCUUUGGCUUCCUCAUAAAAGACAGCCUCCAAGAAUUUUUCUGCCCUGAUACUUAAAAUAAUAGUAAAGGGUUACUGUUGGGGUGCUACCAGGGAGAGGGAAUUAAGCUGGGAAGACCAAAAAUGAAAAAUGGGCAAAAAUGAUCACUAAACUACUUCAAAAUUGAAAUAACCAGCAAUGGAGGAUCAAAGAAGUAAUUAUGUUCUGUCACGUCUACCUAAUAAAAUGCAAAUGAACAAUUAAAAA
This is a long non-coding RNA of Manis pentadactyla (Chinese pangolin), 609 nucleotides long. RefSeq lists it as uncharacterized. The transcript has 3 exons. The record is from RefSeq and is a predicted model, not a curated record. NCBI's taxonomy places the organism in Eukaryota, Metazoa, Chordata, Mammalia, Pholidota, Manidae.